Molecule: ribosomal RNA, 252 nt
Filed under: uncultured bacterium
Lineage: Bacteria
Description: partial 16S ribosomal RNA
Rfam family: Bacterial small subunit ribosomal RNA
Source: RNAcentral
UACGUAGGGAGCGAGCGUUAUCCGGAAUUAUUGGGUGUAAAGCGUGUGUAGGCGGUUAAAUAAGUCUAAGGUUUAAGCCUGGAGCUCAACUCCAGAUCGCCUUAGAAACUGUAUAACUUGAGUAUGGUAGAGGUAAACGGAAUUUCUAGUGUAGCGGUAAAAUGCGUAGAUAUUAGAAGGAACACCAGUGGCGAAGGCGGUUUACUGGGCCACCACUGACGCUGAGACACGAAAGCGUGGGGAGCAAAUAGG